UGGGAGCUAGUUUCAUUCUACUUCAUCACUUUGCAAGUCUGUUUGUCUUGCAAGUGCUAGUCUAGCUCUCCCUCCUUGAUCUCUACAUAUAUCGUUUUUUGUCUUAGAAGAAAUAACAGGCGUGAAAUGAAGAGUUUCAAGUCUCUCCUAUUGGCCCUAAAUGCCUUUGCGAUGAUCCUCAUUUUUGUGUGGCUUUCAAAUUCCAUGGAGGUGGAUGGGUUGAGGAACCUUAAGGAGGAACACUCUUUGAUCACUUCAAUGUUAGAGAAUUUAGUUACAGAGAGAGCAUAUUCGGGGCCAAGUCGUCGUGGAAAAGGUCACUAACUUCAUGGAGCAGAGCUAAAUUAGGAACUUUACUAAUACAUAUUAUAAUUUUUCAAUGAAGGGUGUUUGAGUGACCACUCUUGUAUCAAUGUAUCUGCACCACUAUAAUGGAGUUGCCUAAAAUCACAAGUGAUAGAGGCACAUAUUCAAUUAUUUUUUUUCUCCGUGAUAUUCAAUUUAAUUGACUAAGUUAAUUUGGUCGUUGCCUGCUGAGUAAUUAAAUAUUACUUUUUUUUUUGUGUGUAAUUCUGCU
This 577-nucleotide long non-coding RNA is filed under the name Capsicum annuum. Its description in RNAcentral is "long non-coding RNA (CANN_LNC013235)". Lineage: Eukaryota; Viridiplantae; Streptophyta; Magnoliopsida; Solanales; Solanaceae. The record is from RNAcentral.